GAUGAACGCUGGCGGCGUGCCUAAUACAUGCAAGUCGAGCGAAGCGGGGACGGGUGAGUAACACGUGGAUAACCUCCUAUAAGACUGGGAUAACUUCGGGAAACCGGAGCUAAACCGGAUACUUAUAGAUGGAUCCGCGCGUCAUUAGCUAGUUGGUAAGGUAACGGCUUACCAAGGCAACGAUGCAUAGCCGACCUGAGAGAGUGAGCGGCCAAACGGAAUAUAGGACACGGUCCAGACUCCGACGAGAGGCGGCAGUAGGGAAUCUUCAGCAAUGGGCGGAAGUCUGACGGAGCGCCGCCGCGUGAGUGACGAAGGUAUGCGGAUCGUAAAGCGCUGUUAUAAGGCAAGCUGUAACGAAUCAGAAAUGCACGGCUAACUACGUGCCAGCAGCCGCGGUAAUAC
RNAcentral lists this ribosomal RNA (405 nucleotides) under uncultured bacterium. Its description in RNAcentral is "partial 16S ribosomal RNA". It matches the Rfam family "Bacterial small subunit ribosomal RNA", at positions 28 to 526 of the family's 1533-position model. The record is from RNAcentral.